This 841-nucleotide ribosomal RNA is filed under the name uncultured soil bacterium. RNAcentral describes it as "bacterial SSU rRNA". It matches the Rfam family "Bacterial small subunit ribosomal RNA", at positions 26 to 898 of the family's 1533-position model. The record is from RNAcentral.
AGAAUCAACGCUGGCGGCGUGCCUAACACAUGCAAGUCGAACGAGAAAGUGGUAGCAAUACCAUGAGUAAAGUGGCGCACGGGUGAGUAACACGUGACUAACCUACCCUUGAGUGGGGGAUAACUUCGGGAAACCGAGGCUAAUACCGCAUAAUACCGAGAGGUCAAAGGAGCAAUUCGCUUAAGGAGGGGGUCGCGGCUGAUUAGCUAGUUGGUAGGGUAAUGGCCUACCAAGGCAAUGAUCAGUAUCCGGCCUGAGAGGGCGCACGGACACACUGGAACUGAAACACGGUCCAGACUCCUACGGGAGGCAGCAGUGGGGAAUUUUGCACAAUGGGGGAAACCCUGAUGCAGCAACGCCGCGUGGAGGAUGAAGUCCCUUGGGAUGUAAACUCCUUUCGACCGGGACGAUUAUGACGGUACCGGUGGAAGAAGCCCCGGCUAACUUCGUGCCAGCAGCCGCGGUAAUACGAGGGGGGCAAGCGUUGUUCGGAAUUAUUGGGCGUAAAGGGCGCGUAGGCGGCGCGGUAAGUCACCAGUGAAAUCUCCGGGCUCAACUCGGAGCCUGCUGGCGAAACUGCCGUGCUGGAGUAUGGGAGGGGUGCGUGGAAUUCCCGGUGUAGCGGUGAAAUGCGUAGAUAUCUGCAGGAACACCCGUGGCGAAAGCGGCGCGCUGGACCACUACUGACGCUGAGGAACGAAAGCUAGGGGAGCAAACAGGAUUAGAUACCCUGGUAGUCCUAGCCCUAAACGAUCAGGACUUGGGGUGCCACCCGUUCGGGUGUCGUCCCGGAGCUAACGCGUUAAGCAGUCCGCCUGGGGAGUACGGUCGCAAGGCUGAA